GAGCGCUGAAGGUUGGUACUUGUACCGCUGGAUACCCCCUCACGGGUGAGUACCGCCUGGGGAAUCUGCCUUUGAGCGGGGGACAACAUUUGGAAACGAAUGCUAAUACCGCAUAAAAACUUUAAACACAAGUUUUAAGUUUGAAAGAUGCAAUUGCAUCACUCAAAGAUGAUCCCGCGUUGUAUUAGCUAGUUGGUGAGGUAAAGGCUCACCAAGGCGAUGAUACAUAGCCGACCUGAGAGGGUGAUCGGCCACAUUGGGACUGAGACACGGCCCAAACUCCUACGGGAGGCAGCAGUAGGGAAUCUUCGGCAAUGGACGAAAGUCUGACCGAGCAACGCCGCGUGAGUGAAGAAGGUUUUCGGAUCGUAAAACUCUGUUGGUAGACAAGAACGUUGGUGAGAGUGGAAAGCUCACCAAGUGACGGUAACUACCCAGAAAGGGACGGCUAACUACGUGCCACCAGCCGCGGUAAUACGUAGGUCCCGAGCGUUGUCCGGAUUUAUUGGGCGUAAAGCGAGCGCAGGUGGUUUAUUAAGUCUGGUGUAAAAGGCAGUGGCUCAACCAUUGUAUGCAUUGGAAACUGGUAGACUUGAGUGCAGGAGAGGAGAGUGGAAUUCCAUGUGUAGCGGUGAAAUGCGUAGAUAUAUGGAGGAACACCGGUGGCGAAAGCGGCUCUCUGGCCUGUAACUGACACUGAGGCUCGAAAGCGUGGGGAGCAAACAGGAUUAGAUACCCUGGUAGUCCACGCCGUAAACGAUGACUGCUAGAUGUAGGGAGCUAUAAGUCUCUGUAUCGCAGCUAACGCAAUAAGCACUCCGCCUGGGGAGUACGACCGCAAGUUGAAACUCAAGGAAUUGACGGGGGCCCGCACAAGCGGUGGAGCAUGUGGUUUA
RNAcentral lists this ribosomal RNA (896 nucleotides) under Lactococcus lactis subsp. lactis bv. diacetylactis. RNAcentral's name for it is "bacterial SSU rRNA". It matches the Rfam family "Bacterial small subunit ribosomal RNA", at positions 64 to 948 of the family's 1533-position model. The record is from RNAcentral. Lineage: Bacteria; Bacillati; Bacillota; Bacilli; Lactobacillales; Streptococcaceae.